This 98-nucleotide non-coding RNA is filed under the name Halalkalibacterium halodurans. Its description in RNAcentral is "Bacillus halodurans Guanine sequence". It matches the Rfam family "Purine riboswitch aptamer". Rfam says of the family: Riboswitches are metabolite binding domains within certain messenger RNAs that serve as precision sensors for their corresponding targets. The record is from RNAcentral. RNAcentral also lists the same sequence under 1 other name. Lineage: Bacteria; Bacillati; Bacillota; Bacilli; Caryophanales; Bacillaceae.
UUAAUCGAGCUCAACACUCUUCGUAUAUCCUCUCAAUAUGGGAUGAGGGUCUCUACAGGUACCGUAAAUACCUAGCUACGAAAAGAAUGCAGUUAAUG